AAAACAAACCUAAAGGCGUAAUGAAAGUAAAGAUUGUUUUUAUAACAAUUGAGGGAAGAUGGGUUAUAUUACGAUAUAAUCCCGCAUUCCCAGGACGUCUUAUUCUCAUU
RNAcentral lists this ribosomal RNA (110 nucleotides) under Cardiochiles sp. 9 NM-2007. RNAcentral describes it as "partial 28S ribosomal RNA". Lineage: Eukaryota; Metazoa; Arthropoda; Insecta; Hymenoptera; Braconidae. The record is from RNAcentral.